GAUGAACGCUGGCGGCGUGCUUAACACAUGCAAGUCGAACGGGAAACCUUUUAUUGUAAGUCUUCGGUCAGAUUUAGAUUGUUUUCUAGUGGCGGACGGGUGAGUAACGCGUGGGUAACCUGCCUUAUACAGGGGGAUAACAGUCGAGAAAUGACUAGCUAAUACCGCAUAAGCGCACAGAGCUGCAUGGCUCGGUGUGAAAAACUCCGGUGGUAUGAGAUGGACCCGCGUCUGAUUAGGUAGUUGGUGGGGUAACGGCCUACCAAGCCGACGAUCAGUAGCCGACCUGAGAGGGUGACCGGCCACAUUGGGACUGAGACACGGCCCAA
Molecule: ribosomal RNA, 329 nt
Filed under: uncultured bacterium
Lineage: Bacteria
Description: bacterial SSU rRNA
Rfam family: Bacterial small subunit ribosomal RNA
Source: RNAcentral